RNAcentral lists this transfer RNA (73 nucleotides) under Stegodyphus mimosarum. It matches the Rfam family "tRNA". From Rfam's summary of the family: Transfer RNA (tRNA) molecules are approximately 80 nucleotides in length. Their secondary structure includes four short double-helical elements and three loops (D, anti-codon, and T loops). The record is from Rfam by way of RNAcentral. Lineage: Eukaryota; Metazoa; Arthropoda; Arachnida; Araneae; Eresidae.
GUCUUCGUGGUGUAAUGGUCAACACACUCGGCGCAUAUUCGAGAAGUCCGAGGUUCGAGUCCCAGCGAGGGCU